AGUGAACGCUGGCGGCAGGCCUAACACAUGCAAGUCGAACGGCAGCACAGAGGAGCUUGCUCCUUGGGUGGCGAGUGGCGGACGGGUGAGGAAUACGUCGGAAUCUGCCUAUUUGUGGGGGAUAACGUAGGGAAACUUACGCUAAUACCGCAUACGACCUACGGGUGAAAGUGGGGGACCUUCGGGCCUCACGCAGAUAGAUGAGCCGACGUCGGAUUAGCUAGUUGGCGGGGUAAAGGCCCACCAAGGCGACGAUCCGUAGCUGGUCUGAGAGGAUGAUCAGCCACACUGGAACUGAGACACGGUCCAGACUCCUACGGGAGGCAGCAGUGGGGAAUAUUGGACAAUGGGCGCAAGCCUGAUCCAGCCAUGCCGCGUGUGUGAAGAAGGCCUUCGGGUUGUAAAGCACUUUUGUCCGGAAAGAAAAGCUUAGGGUUAAUAACCUUGAGUCAUGACGGUACCGGAAGAAUAAGCACCGGCUAACUUCGUGCCAGCAGCCGCGGUAAUACGAAGGGUGCAAGCGUUACUCGGAAUUACUGGGCGUAAAGCGUGCGUAGGUGGUUUGUUAAGUCUGAUGUGAAAGCCCUGGGCUCAACCUGGGAAUGGCAUUGGAAACUGGCUUACUAGAGUGCGGUAGAGGGGUGUGGAAUUCCCGGU
RNAcentral lists this ribosomal RNA (657 nucleotides) under uncultured Lysobacter sp. RNAcentral describes it as "bacterial SSU rRNA". It matches the Rfam family "Bacterial small subunit ribosomal RNA", at positions 28 to 674 of the family's 1533-position model. The record is from RNAcentral. Lineage: Bacteria; Pseudomonadati; Pseudomonadota; Gammaproteobacteria; Lysobacterales; Lysobacteraceae.